UACAUAGGUCUCAAGCGUUGUUCGGAUUCAUUGGGCGUAAAGGGUGCGUAGGCGGCGCGGUAAGUCGGGUGUGAAAUCUCGGAGCUUAACUCCGAAACUGCAUUCGAUACUGCCGUGCUUGAGGACUGGAGAGGAGACUGGAAUUUACGGUGUAGCGGUGAAAUGCGUAGAUAUCGUAAGGAAGACCAGUGGCGAAGGCGGGUCCCUGGACAGUUCCUGACGCUGAGGCACGAAGGUCAGGGGAGCAAACGGG
This 253-nucleotide ribosomal RNA is filed under the name uncultured bacterium. RNAcentral describes it as "partial 16S ribosomal RNA". It matches the Rfam family "Bacterial small subunit ribosomal RNA", at positions 524 to 776 of the family's 1533-position model. The record is from RNAcentral.